UACGUAGGGUGCAGGCGUUAAUCGGAAUUACUGGGCGUAAAGCGUGCGCAGGCGGUUUGCUAAGACAGGUGUGAAAUCCCCGAGCUUAACUUGGGAACUGCGCUUGUAACUGGCAAGCUAGAGUGUGGCAGAGGGGGGUGGAAUUCCACGUGUAGCAGUGAAAUGCGUAGAGAUGUGGAGGAACACCGAUGGCGAAGGCAGCCCCCUGGGCUAACACUGACGCUGAGACGCGAAAGCGUGGGAAGCAAACAGG
This 253-nucleotide ribosomal RNA is filed under the name uncultured bacterium. RNAcentral describes it as "partial 16S ribosomal RNA". It matches the Rfam family "Bacterial small subunit ribosomal RNA", at positions 524 to 776 of the family's 1533-position model. The record is from RNAcentral.